RNAcentral lists this ribosomal RNA (780 nucleotides) under Acinetobacter sp. Its description in RNAcentral is "bacterial SSU rRNA". It matches the Rfam family "Bacterial small subunit ribosomal RNA", at positions 57 to 833 of the family's 1533-position model. The record is from RNAcentral. Lineage: Bacteria; Pseudomonadati; Pseudomonadota; Gammaproteobacteria; Moraxellales; Moraxellaceae.
GCAGUCGAGCGGAGAUGAGGUGCUUGCACCUUAUCUUAGCGGCGGACGGGUGAGUAAUGCUUAGGAAUCUGCCUAUUAGUGGGGGACAACAUUCCGAAAGGAAUGCUAAUACCGCAUACGCCCUACGGGGGAAAGCAGGGGAUCUUCGGACCUUGCGCUAAUAGAUGAGCCUAAGUCGGAUUAGCUAGUUGGUGGGGUAAAGGCCUACCAAGGCGACGAUCUGUAGCGGGUCUGAGAGGAUGAUCCGCCACACUGGGACUGAGACACGGCCCAGACUCCUACGGGAGGCAGCAGUGGGGAAUAUUGGACAAUGGGCGGAAGCCUGAUCCAGCCAUGCCGCGUGUGUGAAGAAGGCCUUUUGGUUGUAAAGCACUUUAAGCGAGGAGGAGGCUACUUAGAUUAAUACUCUAGGAUAGUGGACGUUACUCGCAGAAUAAGCACCGGCUAACUCUGUGCCAGCAGCCGCGGUAAUACAGAGGGUGCGAGCGUUAAUCGGAUUUACUGGGCGUAAAGCGUGCGUAGGCGGCUGAUUAAGUCGGAUGUGAAAUCCCUGAGCUUAACUUAGGAAUUGCAUUCGAUACUGGUCAGCUAGAGUAUGGGAGAGGAUGGUAGAAUUCCAGGUGUAGCGGUGAAAUGCGUAGAGAUCUGGAGGAAUACCGAUGGCGAAGGCAGCCAUCUGGCCUAAUACUGACGCUGAGGUACGAAAGCAUGGGGAGCAAACAGGAUUAGAUACCCUGGUAGUCCAUGCCGUAACGAUGUCUACUAGCCGUUGGGGCCUUU